AAGCCUGGGAAACUGGGUCUAAUACUGGAUACUACCUCUUGCCGCAUGGUGGGUGGUGGAAAGGGUUUUACUGGUUUUGGAUGGGCUCACGGCCUAUCAGCUUGUUGGUGGGGUAAUGGCUCACCAAGGCGACGACGGGUAGCCGGCCUGAGAGGGUGACCGGCCACACUGGGACUGAGACACGGCCCAGACUCCUACGGGAGGCAGCAGUGGGGAAUAUUGCACAAUGGGCGGAAGCCUGAUGCAGCGACGCCGCGUGAGGGAUGACGGCCUUCGGGUUGUAAACCUCUUUCAGUAGGGAAGAAGCGAGAGUGACGGUACCUGCAGAAGAAGCGCCGGCUAACUACGUGCCAGCAGCCGCGGUAAUACGUAGGGCGCAAGCGUUGUCCGGAAUUAUUGGGCGUAAAGAGCUCGUAGGCGGUUUGUCGCGUCUGCUGUGAAAGCCCGGGGCUCAACCCCGGGUCUGCAGUGGGUACGGGCAGACUAGAGUGCAGUAGGGGAGACUGGAAUUCCUGGUGUAGCGGUGAAAUGCGCAGAUAUCAGGAGGAACACCGAUGGCGAAGGCAGGUCUCUGGGCUGUUACUGACGCUGAGGAGCGAAAGCAUGGGGAGCGAACAGGAUUAGAUACCCUGGUAGUCCAUGCCGUAAACGUUGGGCACUAGGUGUGGGGGACAUUCCACGUUUUCCGCGCCGUAGCUAACGCAUUAAGUGCCCCGCCUGGGGAGUACGGCCGCAAGGCUAAAACUCAAA
RNAcentral lists this ribosomal RNA (750 nucleotides) under Kocuria sp. EGI80188. RNAcentral describes it as "bacterial SSU rRNA". It matches the Rfam family "Bacterial small subunit ribosomal RNA", at positions 145 to 905 of the family's 1533-position model. Lineage: Bacteria; Bacillati; Actinomycetota; Actinomycetes; Micrococcales; Micrococcaceae. The record is from RNAcentral.